CGCUGGCGGCGUGCNNUAACACAUGCAAGCUCGAACGAGAAAAUCCGGGUGUAGCAAUACAUCUGGGUGAGUAAAGUGGCGAACGGGUGAGUAACACGUAGCUAACCUGCCCUUGAGUGGGGGAUAACCUGGGGAAACUCGGGCUAAUACCGCAUGACAUUCCGACUUCACAAGGAGAUGGAAUCAAAGGCCCGCAAGGGUCACUCGAGGAGGGGGCUGCGGCCGAUUAGCUAGUUGGCGGGGUAAUGGCCCACCAAGGCGAUGAUCGGUAGCCGGCCUGAGAGGGCGCACGGCCACACUGGCACUGAAACACGGUCCAGACUCCUACGGGAGGCAGCAGUGGGGAAUUUUGCACAAUGCCCGAAAGGGUGAUGCAGCAACGCCGCGUGAGGGAUGAAGGCCUUCGGGUCGUAAACCUCUUUCGAUCGGGAAAAAUGGGCGGGUGAUGAAUCCGUUCUGAUGGUACCGGAAGAAGAAGCCCCGGCUAACUACGUGCCAGCAGCCG
Molecule: ribosomal RNA, 505 nt
Filed under: uncultured bacterium
Lineage: Bacteria
Description: bacterial SSU rRNA
Rfam family: Bacterial small subunit ribosomal RNA
Source: RNAcentral